Molecule: unclassified non-coding RNA, 301 nt
Filed under: plant metagenome
Description: partial contains 5.8S ribosomal RNA, internal transcribed spacer 2, and large subunit ribosomal RNA
Rfam family: 5.8S ribosomal RNA (bases 1-105)
Source: RNAcentral
GAAAUGCGAUAAGUAAUGUGAAUUGCAGAAUUCAGUGAAUCAUCGAAUCUUUGAACGCACAUUGCGCCCAUUAGUAUUCUAGUGGGCAUGCCUGUUCGAGCGUCAUUUCAACCCCUAAGCACAGCUUAUUGUUGGGCGUCUACGUCUGUAGUGCCUCAAAGACAUUGGCGGAGCGGCAGCAGUCCUCUGAGCGUAGUAAUUCUUUAUCUCGCUUCUGUUAGGUGCUGCCCCCCCGGCCGUAAAACCCCCAAUUUUUUCUGGUUGACCUCGGAUCAGGUAGGAAUACCCGCUGAACUUAAGC